GAGUAACCUGCCCCAGACUCUGGGAUAACCCCGGGAAACCGGAGCUAAUACCGGAUACGACACCAGUCCGCAUGGGCAUGGUGUGGAAAGUUUUUCGGUCUGGGAUGGACUCGCGGCCUAUCAGCUUGUUGGUGAGGUAGUGGCUCACCAAGGCGACGACGGGUAGCCGGCCUGAGAGGGCGACCGGCCACACUGGGACUGAGACACGGCCCAGACUCCUACGGGAGGCAGCAGUGGGGAAUAUUGCACAAUGGGCGCAAGCCUGAUGCAGCGACGCCGCGUGAGGGAUGACGGCCUUCGGGUUGUAAACCUCUUUCAGCAGGGAAGAAGCGCAAGUGACGGUACCUGCAGAAGAAGCACCGGCUAACUACGUGCCAGCAGCCGCGGUAAUACGUAGGGUGCGAGCGUUGUCCGGAAUUAUUGGGCGUAAAGAGCUUGUAGGUGGUUUGUCGCGUCUGCUGUGAAAAUCCGGGGCUCAACCCCGGACUUGCAGUGGGUACGGGCAGACUAGAGUGUGGUAGGGGAGACUGGAAUUCCUGGU
Molecule: ribosomal RNA, 541 nt
Filed under: uncultured bacterium
Lineage: Bacteria
Description: bacterial SSU rRNA
Rfam family: Bacterial small subunit ribosomal RNA
Source: RNAcentral